RNAcentral lists this ribosomal RNA (432 nucleotides) under Triticum aestivum (bread wheat). Its description in RNAcentral is "partial small subunit ribosomal RNA". The record is from RNAcentral. Lineage: Eukaryota; Viridiplantae; Streptophyta; Magnoliopsida; Poales; Poaceae.
AUGGCAUGGGUUGGACCCGUACCUGGACCUGGUUCCUGCGUUUGGUACAUAGCUGGAACGAGCGAAUAUUCCGGCCAUAUCCGGAACGCGCCGAUACCUCCGAAUCCAAGGAAUCGGUCGCUCUUUCCUCUCGCUCCGCCGAAAUCAUGUCGCGUCUCCUCUCUGUGGUCCGCCUCCCCUUGUCUCCCCCCUCCCUCCCUCUGCUCUCUCAUGGCCACAACGUUCCCAUCUGGGCAGCGGACCGGGCAGCAACCGACGGGGGCCGGUGGUUGUUGGUGCCGGCCACACCCUAGAUGGCGGCCUGACCUGCAGGGGCGGCUGCAAUUUUUUGGCGACGACCAGAUCUUCCGGGGAGCGGCGGCGGCCCAAUCUGCUGGUGGGCAGCGGCGACUUGAUCUGCUGGUGGGCAACGGCGGCCUGACUUGCCAAUGA